This 49-nucleotide small nucleolar RNA is filed under the name Pyrobaculum arsenaticum DSM 13514. Its description in RNAcentral is "PARsR58". RNAcentral also lists the same sequence under 1 other name. Lineage: Archaea; Thermoproteati; Thermoproteota; Thermoprotei; Thermoproteales; Thermoproteaceae. The record is from RNAcentral.
UUGAUGACUCCAGGACUGACAGAACUGUGAAGAGACUUCUCGCGGCUGA